GCGCGCCGGGAGUUUAGAGCUAGUACAAAUUGUGGCUAGGCUAAAGUCAGAUCACAAAAGUGAUAGAGUAGAAAUAGGUGUGAUACAGGUGGUCAUUAGGUUGUUCUUUUGUAUAGCCAAAUCCACGUGUGUAAAAAUCGCCAGAAAGUUAGUGUGUUAAACUACGGAGGAAAUAGUCCGAUACGUGGGCCUUUUUCUCUUCUUCCACAUCGCUUGGCGGAGCAAGCGGUGAUCAUUUCAUCCACAGAUCAGCAUUGGCCGCUCCUACCUCCCGCGCACGGAUAAACGAAGUUGUGAAUCUCCCACGAUUGUUACGGACAGACAGAUCGACGAAAGGCCCAGUUGUCACGAGCACCGAACGCCCGCCGGCCCACAAAACCGGCCAUUUUGGGAACGCCGUAUUCAUCACCUUCGGCGUCGGUCAUUGUGCACGGCCGCCAUCGUUGGCCAUUGUUCGCUGGCCACUAUCUGCGCCUGUGAAUGCGUGGAUCCGCCAUUGCUCCUUGCCAUCACGCCAUCUCGAUCAUCGGACAUCCUUCUUCGAGUCAAACGCCGGUCAGAGACCCACUGGUGCGAUAGGAAGCGACGCCUAAACGUUACGACAUUCCCGGAGACGCUCCGGUACUGAAGAGUGCCCAGCAUCCUCUCCAAGCGCUGGGGGCAUCGCACAGCCCGAUUCACGGCGGGACAGCCGUCAAAUACCCUGCAGAACCGCAUCGCUCGCUCCAUCGCUACACCGGUGACGUCUGGCCAGCCCGCUAGACCCUGAAGCACCGCCCGGUACUACCACCGGUUCCCCGAAGCACCUCCCGGUACCACCGCCGGCCCCCGAUGUCCAGCUCACCACCGUGCCGUCAACCACCACCGUUCAAAUGCAGCAAACCGCAAGUACCCUACCCCACAAGUGUUGUGACGUCACAUUAAACCAAUUCAUUAAGCCAAUUUUGGCCAUAAUAAACUAGAAUGUUAAGAUGAAAAUUUGA
Long non-coding RNA from Aedes albopictus (Asian tiger mosquito), 983 nucleotides. RefSeq lists it as uncharacterized. The transcript is spliced from 4 exons. The record is from RefSeq and is a predicted model, not a curated record. NCBI's taxonomy places the organism in Eukaryota, Metazoa, Arthropoda, Insecta, Diptera, Culicidae.